RNAcentral lists this ribosomal RNA (447 nucleotides) under uncultured bacterium. RNAcentral describes it as "bacterial SSU rRNA". It matches the Rfam family "Bacterial small subunit ribosomal RNA", at positions 329 to 792 of the family's 1533-position model. The record is from RNAcentral.
UGCCAGACUCCUACGGGAGGCAGCAGUGGGGAAUAUUGCACAAUGGGGGAAACCCUGAUGCAGCGACGCCGCGUGAGUGAAGAAGUAUCUCGGUACGUAAAGCUCUAUCAGCAGGGAAGAAAAUGACGGUACCUGACUAAGAAGCCCCGGCUAACUACGUGCCAGCAGCCGCGGUAAUACGUAGGGGGCAAGCGUUAUCCGGAUUUACUGGGUGUAAAGGGAGCGUAGGUGGCAUGGCAAGCCAGAAGUGAAAACCCGGGGCUUAACCCCGCGGAUUGCUUUUGGAACUGUCAGGCUGGGGUGCAGGAGGGGCAGGCGGAAUUCCUGGUGUAGCGGUGAAAUGCGUAGAUAUCAGGAGGAACACCGGUGGCGAAGGCGGCCUGCUGGACUGUAACUGACACUGAGGCUCGAAAGCGUGGGGAGCAAACAGGAUUAGAUACCCCCGUA